This 876-nucleotide long non-coding RNA is filed under the name Ananas comosus (pineapple). RNAcentral describes it as "long non-coding RNA (ACOM_LNC015635)". The record is from RNAcentral. Lineage: Eukaryota; Viridiplantae; Streptophyta; Magnoliopsida; Poales; Bromeliaceae.
GGGACAAAAAAAAGGGUCAAAUAAUGCUAUUACUAGUGACAGACCCGCGCGAUGCUGCGAAUAUAAAAAUAUUUUAAUAAUAAAUUUUGAUUUAUAUUUAUAUAUAUUUUAUAUAGUUUUAUAAGUCUAAUUAUUGAUUAAGUAAAAGUUAUAUUUAAAAUAAUUUAAUAAUUAAAUAUGUUUAAAGAAAAAUAAUUAAAACUGGUAUAUGUGCAAUAUAAAUUUAUAUAACAGUUUAUUAAUAAUUAAAUUAUUUUGUAAAGAUUUAUGUGAAAAAGAUUUGAGAUAAAUCUAUUCAAAUAAUUUAAAUAAAUCAGUAAAUAAAAGAAAAAUAAAUAGUAGAAGAAAUUGUUUAUAAAACUAUAUUUAUAUAUAUACAGAGAGACACACACUAUAUUUAUAAAUUGUUAUUCCAGAAAUUUAAAUUUUGUAUUUUUUCAUAUGUCGCCAUUUUUCAUGAUUUUGAUUGUAUCUACCAGAAUAGAUUUUAUUACGCAAUUUAUUAUGCGUAUUAUUAAUACAAUUAAUUAAUUAUAUAGGGUUUAAGCGUUUAAAUUUUGAAGUUUGAAAUUUAGAAAUAAAUAUUAUAAAAUCUAAAAUCUGGAGCUUAAAAUUUGAAAUUAUAAACUUUAAAAUUGUUAUAUUUGGUUUAGAUUUGUAGUUAUCUAAAUUGGAGUUAAAUCCUAAUCUAAUUAGGAUUAUAUAUAAUUUAGAUUUAAUUUGGCAUAUAUGGAUUAUAAUUAGGAGUAUAAUUCUAAUUGAAUUAGAAUUAGACUCUAAUUAGGAGACAUGUAUUAUAUAUACAUGCUAUGGCCAAGUUAAUGACGCCGCGACCAAAAUUAAGGCCAUGCAACCCUCUAAUUAAUUAGCCAAACG